Long non-coding RNA from Exaiptasia diaphana, 527 nucleotides. RefSeq lists it as uncharacterized. The record is from RefSeq and is a predicted model, not a curated record. NCBI's taxonomy places the organism in Eukaryota, Metazoa, Cnidaria, Anthozoa, Actiniaria, Aiptasiidae. The transcript is spliced from 3 exons.
UAUAGAUAUAAGCUUGUGCGAAUAGAUUCUUUCAUCACUUUUCAAGUCUACUCUCAACAAGUUAAGACCUCGAAGAAAUCUCAACUAUCACAAGUCGAAAAUGAACCGUUAUCUGCUGGUGUUUUUGGUUGUAGCGUGUUUGUUUGCCGUCAGUUGCAGUGGACAGCGUCCCUUUAAAAGCGACGACCGUCAACGCUAUAUUGAAAGACGUCUUGCUGCUCUCUUGAAAAGAGGCGGCUGUGAAUGUAGUAACGGGCAGCAAGGAUACUGGUCGUUGGGCUGCGCUAAUGGGCAGAACGAUUGCAAAUCAUCCCCAGACAAUCCAAGAGUCAAAUGUUGUUACUGGCCAUAAGAAAAAUAAAAUAAAAUGCAAUCCACGAGUUAAAUUGCAUUAAAAUUCACGAGUUAAAUAGUAUCACAAUCUACGAGUUAAAUGGUACCACAAUCCACGAGUUGUUAAAUGCUAACAUAAUGAAUUAUACACAAAAAAAAUGACAUAUAAUAAAUAAGUGGUAUAUACAUUCGAA